This 411-nucleotide ribosomal RNA is filed under the name uncultured bacterium. RNAcentral describes it as "bacterial SSU rRNA". It matches the Rfam family "Bacterial small subunit ribosomal RNA", at positions 29 to 486 of the family's 1533-position model. The record is from RNAcentral.
AACGAACGCUGGCGGCAGGCCUAACACAUGCAAGUCGAACGCCGUAGCAAUACGGAGUGGCAGACGGGUGAGUAACACGUGGGAACGUACCCUUCGGUUCGGGAUAACUCAGGGAAACUUGAGCUAAUACCGGAUACGUCCGAGAGGAGAAAGAUUUAUCGCCGAGGGAUCGGCCCGCGUCUGAUUAGCUUGUUGGUGAGGUAACGGCUCACCAAGGCGACGAUCAGUAGCUGGCUGAGAGGAUGAUCAGCCACAUUGGGACUGAGACACGGCCCAAACUCCUACGGGAGGCAGCAGUGGGGAAUAUUGGACAAUGGGCGCAAGCCUGAUCCAGCCAUGCCGCGUGAGUGAUGAAGGCCCUAGGGUUGUAAAGCUCUUUUACCCGGGAAGAUAAUGACUGUACCGGGAGAA